RNAcentral lists this ribosomal RNA (465 nucleotides) under uncultured bacterium. RNAcentral's name for it is "bacterial SSU rRNA". It matches the Rfam family "Bacterial small subunit ribosomal RNA", at positions 25 to 518 of the family's 1533-position model. The record is from RNAcentral.
CAGGAUUAACGCUGGCGGCGUGCCUAAUACAUGCAAGUCGAAUGGUAGCAAUACCAUGGCGAACGGGUGAGUAACACGUAGGUAACCUGUCUUUAAGCCGAGGAUAACCAUUGGAAACGAUGGAUAAUACUGGAUAGGACAUUUGAAGGCAUCUUUAGAUGUUUAAAGAUUUAUCACUUAGAGAGGGGCCUGCGGCGCAUUAGCUAGUUGGUGAGGUGAAGGCUUACCAAGGCGAUGAUGCGUAGCCGGACUGAGAGGUUGAACGGCCACAAUGGAACUGAGAACGGUCCAUACUCCUACGGGAGGCAGCAGUAGGGAAUUUUCGGCAAUGGGCGGAAGCCUGACCGAGCAACGCCGCGUGAACGAAGAAGUAUUUCGGUAUGUAAAGUUCUUUUAUUAGGGACGAAAAGACAGAUUGACGGUACCUAAUGAAUAAGCUCCGGCUAACUACGUGCCAGCCGCGGC